This 1469-nucleotide ribosomal RNA is filed under the name metagenome. Its description in RNAcentral is "bacterial LSU rRNA". It matches the Rfam family "Bacterial large subunit ribosomal RNA", at positions 1471 to 2925 of the family's 2925-position model. The record is from RNAcentral.
CGCGGAGAAGGUUAAGCAAGCCAGGUGUUGGACGUCCUGGUUCAAGCGUGUAGGGAGAUUUCUUAGGCAAAUCCGGGGGAUCAAUUCUGAGGCGUGAUAACGAGUGCCCUUGUGGCGCGAAGUUGCUAUACCAAGCUUCCAAGAAAAGCCACUAAGCUUCAGUUCUAUUUUGACCGUACCGCAAACCGACACAGGUGGGCAGGAUGAGAAUUCUAAGGCGCUUGAGAGAACUCGGGUGAAGGAACUCGGCAAAUUUGCACCGUAACUUCGGGAGAAGGUGCGCCCCGGUAGAGUGUAGAGACUUGCUCUCGAAGCUCGAUGGGGUUGCAGUGAAAUGGUGGCUGCGACUGUUUAAUAAAAACACAGCACUCUGCAAACACGAAAGUGGACGUAUAGAGUGUGACGCCUGCCCGGUGCUGGAAGAUUAAAUGAUGGGGUGCAAGCUCUUGAUUGAAGUCCCAGUAAACGGCGGCCGUAACGAUAACGGUCCUAAGGUAGCGAAAUUCCUUGUCGGGUAAGUUCCGACCUGCACGAAUGGCGUAACGAUGGCCACACUGUCUCCACCCGAGACUCAGCGAAGUUGAAAUGUUUGUGAAGAUGCAAUCUACCCGAGGCUAGACGGAAAGACCCCAUGAACCUUUACUGUAGCUUUGCAUUGGAUUUUGAAUAGACCUGUGUAGGAUAGCUGGGAGGCUUUGAAGCGGGGACGCCAGUUCUCGUGGAGCCAACCUUGAAAUACCAGCCUGGUGUGUUUGAGAUUCUAACCUAGACCCCUUAUCGGGGUUGGGGACCGUGCAUGGUAGGCAGUUUGACUGGGGCGGUCUCCUCCCAAAUUGUAACGGAGGAGUACGAAGGUAUCCUAGGUACGGUCGGACAUCGUACUGAUAGUGCAAUGGCAAAAGGAUGCUCAACUGCGAGACUGACAAGUCGAGCAGAUACGAAAGUAGGUCAUAGUGAUCCGGUGGUUCUGUAUGGAAGGGCCAUCGCUCAACGGAUAAAAGGUACUCUGGGGAUAACAGGCUGAUUCCUCCCAAGAGUUCAUAUCGACGGGGGAGUUUGGCACCUCGAUGUCGGCUCAUCACAUCCUGGGGCUGUAGCCGGUCCCAAGGGUAUGGCUGUUCGCCAUUUAAAGUGGUACGUGAGCUGGGUUUAAAACGUCGUGAGACAGUUUGGUCCCUAUCUGCCUUGGGCGUUGGAAAUUUGAAGGGACCUGCUCCUAGUACGAGAGGACCGGAGUGGACAGAUCUCUGGUGUACCGGUUAUCACGCCAGUGGUAUUGCCGGGUAGCUAAAUCUGGAAGAGAUAACCGCUGAAAGCAUCUAAGCGGGAAACUCGCCUUGAGAUAAGAUUUCCCUGGGGGUUCGACCCCCCUAAAGAGUCGUUCGAGACUAGGACGUUGAUAGGCUGGGUGUGGAAGCGCAGUAAUGCGUUAAGCUAACCAGUACUAAUUGCUCGUGAGGCUUGAUCCU